This 625-nucleotide long non-coding RNA is filed under the name Triticum aestivum (bread wheat). Its description in RNAcentral is "long non-coding RNA (TAES_LNC008149)". Lineage: Eukaryota; Viridiplantae; Streptophyta; Magnoliopsida; Poales; Poaceae. The record is from RNAcentral.
CCAAAUUCUGAAUUUUGCAUAACAGCAUGCGGUACAAAUUCUGAAUCUUUUCACAGGAUAUAUUCUAAAUCUUACUUGAUAGCUUACAAAGCAAAACAACAUACAUAAAUGAUUCCUUCACAAACUAAUAUCUUGAGGAUGCUUCUUCUUCUUCAGGACAAUCAUUUCAAAAAAGAGGGAGACGACAAGGUAGAACAGAGCAACCACAAGGCGGAACUGCAAUUUCUGAAUCUUCUUCUUGAGGACAUUAAUUUCUCCACGAUGAUUGACUUCCAAAUCACACACAUAUGCAUCCAACAUCUUGUUCUUUGACAACCUGGCAUUGAGCAAAUCAUUUUCAUUCCUCAGACGUUCCUUUAGUCGACAGAGCAACAUAUUCAUAGAUGGAGUGUGUGAAUCAUCAUCCAGAGAAAAUAUCUGCAGUCAACUCCCUACGCACUGAGAACGAACAAUUACCAACAAAAUUAGAAGCAAACACAUCAGAAGCAACUGAUUAACAUACAUAAAUUUAAUUUGAAACAAAACACAGGCAGAGAAAUACCAAUGCUUUGCCAUAGUUGUGGUACCUCCUCCCUGGGUUCUUCGGGCUCCAUGAGAUCCACCUAGGGGCUUUCAUCUGACAACG